This 292-nucleotide ribosomal RNA is filed under the name uncultured bacterium. RNAcentral's name for it is "partial 16S ribosomal RNA". It matches the Rfam family "Bacterial small subunit ribosomal RNA", at positions 505 to 796 of the family's 1533-position model. The record is from RNAcentral.
GUGCCAGCAGCCGCGGUAAUACGGAGGGUGCAAGCGUUAUCCGGAUUCACUGGGUUUAAAGGGUGCGUAGGCGGCUAUAUAAGUCAGUGGUGAAAGCCCGCAGCUCAACUGUGGAAUUGCCAUUGAAACUGUAUAGCUUGAAUCUGGUUGAAGUGGGCGGAAUACAUCAUGUAGCGGUGAAAUGCUUAGAUAUGAUGUAGAACACCGAUUGCGAAGGCAGCUCACUAAGCCAACAUUGACGCUGAGGCACGAAAGCGUGGGUAGCGAACAGGAUUAGAUACCCCCGUAGUCC